GUUAGAGAAACCCAUUCCACUCUUACAACAGCACAGCGUUUCUUUACCUUGUAGUGGCUCGUCCUUCACGCCUGAUCAGCCCCAACAGCUGCAGUUCAGAUUUUGUGUAAAGUUUUCCCACGGCUCUCUUUUCACUGUAAUGUUGAGGUUAGGUCCAAAACGAGAGCGGGAUUCAUUGCCACGCAUUUAAUAUCUGCAGUUUGACAUGUAGAGACAAAGAGAGAGGGGCACAUAGAGAGCGAGAGAGAGAGGAGCGCACACUAUACGGUGGGAUAUUUUUGGAUUCCGUCUCCCCUGACUCAGCAGCCAGUGCUUACAUUUAGAGGUUUUUGCUAAGAUCUCAUGCAAGAGGGAAAGACAGAUGUGACUGUGACUGUAAUUUUCACUGAUUCUCGGGUACAGGUAUUUGCCUGAAGAUCUUCGAAUAGACUAUUGCGCACUUUGCGUGAAAGAGUCAGCCAUUGAAAAUGGGUGCGGAAUGUGCACACAUUGUGUAUUCUGAAAUGGUCAAGAAAUAUCGAUAACACUGCAUCCGAGAGAGAACUCGUUACCCAUCACCCACCAGUCAACCCAAUACGGCUUUGAAAUGUAGGUAAUGAAAGUUAACUGUUUUAUUUAACCUGGGGGGGAAAUGUACUUCUAAAACUACAAAAACCGCAAAGAGUGAAGUAAAUUAAGAAACAUAAAGCACAUUUACAGACAUUUUCACAUUAGUACUCUGUCUAUCAUCAUCGCAGAAAUGCUAGCAGGCGGCACUGUAAUUUAACACUUUGUACAAAUGAAGCCUGUGUUUAAUUGUUCCUCCCAAUUGAAUGCUUUAUAACUGGUGGUUUCAAUUCUACCCAUCCCAUAGUGAACUGUUUGUACACAGUAGAAAAGUUUAUGCAUGGAAAAGUGGAUGUAUAUGGGCUGUUAACCCAAUAUGCUAUUUCAGGGAAGCUGCUGACCAGGCCCCACGGCCGUUAAACUAACAUCUCCCUUUUAGGUUAACCGAUCACCACUGUGCUACUGUAUAGCUGAGCCUUCAGAGACUCAGGACACUGCAGCACUCCCUGUUUGAAGCAGUUAGUCUAGGCCCAUGUCCUGAAACCUCAAAUACCACCAUAAUUUCCCAAAUAAUUAACUUAAAUCUAAGUUAAAGCUGGUAAUUUGUAUUCAUACAACAUACUUUGCCUGAUCAUGAGUACAAACAAAGCAACUGCGAUGGUGCUUCAAUCAGGAAGUGGGCAGUUACUCUCACCCCUCUCCCUAAGUGGAGCUGUCACGUUCCUGACCUUAUUUCCUUUGUUUUAGUCAUUGUUUAGUUGGUCAGGACGUGAGCUGGGUGGGUAUUUUCAAUGUUAUGUGUUUUCAUUGGUUUAGGGUUGUCUAACUAGCCUGAUAUGGUUCUCAAUCAGAGGCAGGUGUUUUACGUUGUCUCUGAUUGGGAACCAUAUUAAGGUAGGCUGUUCUCACUGUUUGUUUGUGGGUGAUUGUUCCUGUUCGUUGCGUUCUUUGUUUUCUAGAUUCACAUGUUCAGGUCUGUAGCGUCGUUGGUUUAGUUCUGUUUAUUGUUUUUGUUCGUGUUGAAUAAGUGUUCGAAUAAAUUUGGAUGCAUACCACGCUGCAAUUUGGUCCUCCUCUCCUUCAACCAACGACGAGAGUCGUUACAGGAGCGGCCAUCUUUACAGUCUCUAGAUAUGCACAUAGCAAAGCAAGCUAAAUAAAUUCUACAUGUUAUCUCACACUAAAAUCUUUACAAAGUUUACCAUUUGCAUGUUUUAUCUUUAUUUGAAUAAUUUUGUGUAUCUUACUGUUCAAUCAUCACAGCUUCCCAUCUUUCUUUACAGAGCACAGCCUGUGAAACAGUUUGGACAACAGCCCUGAGACUAAUGUAGAGCUGACAAUAGCUGACUAAUUAACACAAUAGACAACAAUACAGUUUCUUCCGGAGUUUUACUGACUUUGUGCGUACUAAAUCCAACCCACAUCUCCUCUGCAGUAGCACAGAGCCAGCAAGCUCCAUUCCCUUCCCAGCUAUGGCUCCCCCUAGCCGUGCUGCCAUAUUUCCUUGUUUAUGCACAGCAUAAUGGCCUGUCCCUCCCUUCUCUAUAACAUUAUACAGACACCACCUAGCACCUGAAAAUCUCAAUUUUUCUGGAUACAUUUUGAAAUUAGAGUCUCUAUAUACCCCAUAUCCAUCCAAUGGCACCCUAACCAUAGUGGAACAUAACUUUUCUUACCUUUACAAAGUGCCUCUCUCUAUACUUCUCUCUCUCCAAAGUCCCAACCUCGAUAGCCUCCUUCUUCUUCCCAGAAAUCCCUGCAAAAGGGGCACUUCCAUGUAAGUUUUAUUUGUAGGGGUGCUCAUAUUGGACUCAACCAUUACUGUAAAAUAUAGAAGGCCCCAGAUGCUCAGUAAGGGCUAUUUGGGAACAUAGUCCCACAAGUGCCAACAUGUCCCUUUCAAAUGGGAUGACACUGGCACUAUACGCCUCCCCAAACUCCCUCUGUCCUCCCCACAAUGACUUUCACAUCAUAUGGCCCAUCCACCAGUCUUACAGCCUAUACUGAGAAGACAUUUUCACUUGCUGCACAAAUUAGCUCUCAGAGAGUUUUCACUGGGGUUUUGUAGAUUCACCAAGCCUUGAAGCCUCUUAGAGCGGCUCAAAAUCAUUGCUAGGGGAUAUUUUGGACACACAGAGACCCCUUUUUAUUGAAACUGACCAUUUGAAUGCAGAGGAAAAUAUGCCGGUGGGAAUAUGAUGCAAUCAAGCAAAAAGAGAGCACCGUCUCCAAUUGUCCCUCUUCAAAAGUGCAGAGAUGUAUCCAGUGGGACAAGGAGCUUUUCACUCACACAAUGAGAAGGUAAUUAAGCUUCUGAAGUUUAACAUGUAAUUUUUAAGAAUGUUUUUCUUCAUAUAUUACUGAACAAAUCAUCAAUUUAAGGGGUGGUGGAUGACUAAUGCCAAUUUUGGGGUCCGUGCUUUGAAAGGCAAACAGGUAAGCUCACUAACUGUAGUGCACUGUAGUGCACAAGGUAAGGACUUCAUUCUUGUUCAAAACUAUAUGUAUAUACAUAAAUUAACUAUUUCUUUAAAUAAUUUUAAGGUGUCAUAUAAUAUCAAUGGUGUAUCAUCUCAAACUUAAAUUAUACAUAUUUACCAUAUAGUCUACAAUAUACAACUACCACUUUUUUAUAAUAUUUUAUUCAGCACUAGCCUUCAGUUGACAGUAUGGUCCUGAAACUAGAUAACAUGCUAAUGUUUUUAAAAUAAACGUACAUAAAUAUUGAGUCUUUAAUAUCAGAAAAUGAACAAAACAUAGCCUAGCAGUUUAAGACUUGACUGAACCAAAUUUGAUACAGCCUACCUGAAUAAGCAGCUAUAUUUCAUGAUCUGACAGUAGGCAUCAAGACAUGAAAUGAGUAUGCUUUAGAAAUGUCCAGUGUUUUAAAAACAAACACCAAAACUUUGUAGUCUUAUUUCACAGUAUUUCCAAAGUAGAAGUGGUGGUAAAACAAAUGGCAGUAUUUUCCUGCGAGUCCAGACUUGAGCUGAUUCUUGUCCUAAAACAAAAAGAUCCCCAAACCAGUCGUCAACUGCCCAAAGCAACAUCAGAUCAAUCCACACCUUCAUGGUCAAAAUAGGGUGUAAAACGUGGUCUUCAUUUCUAAAACCGUAAAUAACAAACUCCGAAACACCUGCCCAGAACGAAUCUCAACACUACAGCACAGAUAUGCUAUUUAAAUUAAAUUAUGUAUUCGUAAACAAUGAAAAAUGAUAUUCAAUCGAAUAAAAAUGAGACACUAGGUACAUUCAGAAUAUGGAGACAGGCUUCAGCACAGGACUGGAGAUGUCAGCUGCUGGCACACGCCUGACCCUUUUGUUCAUGAGAACAGCCGCAACUGUCAGACUAGAAUAGAGCACAUUUAUGAGCGGAAUAAGGACCAAAAACAGAAAUUAAGUGGUAAUGUAUCUGAACAGUAGCCAACAGCCAUCGUGAACAGCCAUCAUGGUAAUAAGCAUCACAUUUGAGUUGUCUGUUGGUGGUUUGAAUGCGUAAAUAUGUAGGCCUACACACACCUGGAUGUUGCCAAAGACAGACGUCCUUGUUGAUGGGGGUUUGUUUGGAGACAGGCAGACCAUUGCAUGGGUUACAAGGGAAACGCUAACCUAAAUAGCGGCGCAUACUAUUCGAUACAUAAGGUUUCUUAUAAGAGCAUAUGAUUUGAGCAGUUUACAUUUUAAACCUUCUAGCUACCCAAGGUUGAAUUAUACAUAAGGGCUUAAUGCUAGGCUAAAUGUUGCCUUUCACUGCAAGUCCUAACACAUAUCAAUAAAAUCAAUCAAUAUCUACAGUGUAACAGUAUCGCAUUCCCAUCAUGAUAUGAGGCUAAGCUAUGGUCUGCGUGUGUAAAACACGCGCCAACGUCACUACGCUUCUACAUUGGAACAGAGCAUAUGUAUGAAAUACAGUAAUAAUGAAUGAAUGCCUUCACUUUUGUUUCAUUGGUGUUCUUUAUAAUGUUGUAACUUUUGAAUAUCUGUACUAUUUAUUAGUGGCGUCAUGCACUCCAAACAUCUGAGGGGCACAAAGUAUGUGAGGAUGGCUUGGGGGUGGUCAGGAGAGGGGCUUGCCCCCUGUUCAUAAGUUGGAGAAAAUUGCAUUUUUCAAACACAUUAAUUAAACAGCUUUUCUUGCAAUCUAGAGCCAUGAUCAUUAUGCUUAAUUCUGUCAAACAUUUUUGUUUUUCUGCAUAUCUAAGCAUACAGUUUAAGUCGGAAGUUUACAUACACCUUAGCCAAAUACAUUUAAACUCAGUUUUUCACAAUUGUUGACAUUUAAUCCUAGUAAAAAUUCCCUGUCUUAGGUCAGUUACGAUCACCACUUUAUUUUAAGAAUGUGAAAUGUCAGAAUAAUAGUAGAGAGAAUGAUUUAUAUCAGCUUUAAUUUCCUUCAUUACAUUCCCAGUGGGUCAGAAGUUUACAUACACUCAAUUGGUAUUUGGUAGCAUUGCCUUCAAAUAGUUUAACUUGGGUCAAACGUUUUUUGUAGCCUUCCCACAAGCUUCCCACAAUAAGUUGGGUGAAUUUUAGCCCAUCUCUUCAGACAGAGCUAGUGUAACUGAGUCAGGUUUGUAGGCCUCCUUGUUCGCACAUGCUUUUUCAGUUCUUCCCACAAAUGUUCUAUAGGAUUGAGGUCAGGGCUUUGUGAUGGCCACUCCUAUACCUUGACUUUGUUGUGCUUAAGCCAUUUUGCCACAACUUUGGAAGUAUGCUUGGUGUCAUUGUCCAUUUGGAAGACCCAUUUGCGAACAAGCUUCAACUUCGUGACUGAUGUCUUGAGAUGUUGCUUCAAUAUAUCCACAUAAUUUUCCUCCCCCUGAUGCCAUCUAUUUUGUGAAGUGCACCAGUCCCUCCUGCAUCAAAGCACCCCCACAACAUGAUGCUACCACCCCUGUGCUUCACGUUCUUUGGCUUGCAAGCCUCCCCCUUUUUCCUCCAAACAUAAAGAUGGUCAUUAUGGCCAAACAGUUCUAUUUUUGUUUCAUCAGACCAGAGGACAUUUCUCCAAAAAGUAUGAUCUUUGUCCCCAUGUGUAGUUGCAAACCGAAGUCUGGCUUUUUUAUGGCGGGUGUAAUGCCCGAUGUGUAGUGGAUGAACAGGAGUCAACGCAGGAGACAGAGAGUUCAGAGUAGCGUUCAAAAUUUAAUUACUCACACGGUUGCAAACACGACGCUACUCAAAAAACAAAUGCUUCACCCCACAUAGAGUGAGAACCACGGAAAAUACCAACCAACACGAUACCCAGACACAACAAGAAUGUACAGAGUGUACACACAACAAUCCCGCACACCCAGCAGGCCGGGCUGCUGGGUAAUAAAGCCCCACAAAUCACCCUAACCACAAACAGGUGCACCUACUCAACAAAAAGGGAGGGGGAGGAAAAGUCAGUAGCAGCUAGUAGGCUGGUGACGACGACCGCCGAGCACCACCCGAACAGGAAGGGGAGCCACCUUCGGUGGGAGUCGUUACAGUACCCCCCACCCUGACGCGCGGCUCCCGCAGCGCGCCGACACCGGCCUCGAGGACGACCCGGAGGGCGAGGCGCAGGGCGAUCCGGAUGGAGGUGAUGGAAAUCCCUCAACAUCGAUGGAUCCAGAAUGUCCCCCACCGGUACCCAGCACCUCUCCUCCAGACCGUACCCCUUCCAGUCCACAAGGUACUGCAGGCCCCUCACCCGGCGUCUUGAGUCCAGAAUGGCUCGUAUCCUGUACGCCGGGGACCCCUCAAUGUCGAGAGGGGGAGGAGGGUCCUCCGGUACCUCACCGUUCUGCAGGGGACCAGCUACCACCGGCGUGAGGAGAGACACAUGAAACGAGGGGUUAAUACGAUAAUAGGAAGGGAGUUGUAAUCGAUAACACACCUCGUUUAUUCUCCUCAGGACUUUGAAGGGCCCUACACACUGCGGACCCAGCUUCCGGCAGGGCAAGCGGAGGGGCAGGUUUCGGGUCGAGAGCCAGACCCUGUCCCCCGGUACAAACACAGGGGCCUCACUGCGGUGGCGGUCAGCACUCCUCUUCUGCCGUCCACUAGCUUGUUGGAGGGAUUCCUGGACGGCCCUCCAUGUCUCCUUGGAGCGCUGCACCCAUUCCUCCACUGCAGGAGCCUCGGUCUGGCUCGGAUGCCAUGGUGCCAGGACCGGCUGGUACCCCAAUACACACUAAAAGGGGGACGUGUUAGUAGAGGAGUGGCGUAGAGAGUUCUGGGCCAUUUCGGCCCAAGGGAUGUAUCUCGCCCACUCCCCUGGCCGGUCCUGGCAAUACGACCGCAGAAACCUACCCACCUCCUGGUUCACUCUCUCCACCUGCCCAUUACUCUCAGGGUGAUAACCGGAGGUAAGGCUAACCGAGACCCCCAAACGCUCCAUAAACGCCCUCCAUACUCUGGACGUGAACUGGGGGCCCCGAUCAGAAACGAUGUCCUCCGGCACCCCGUAGUGCCGGAAGACGUGGGUGAAUAAUGCCUCCGCAGUCUGUAGGGCUGUAGGGAUACCGGGCAACGGGAGGAGACGACAGGUCUUAGAAAACCGAUCCACAAUCACCAGCACCGUAGUAUUCCCUUGAGACGGGGGAAGGUCGGUCAGGAAAUCUACGGAUAGAUGUGACCAAGGCCGUUGUGGAACGGGGAGGGGUUGUAACUUCCCUCUAGGAAGGUGCCUAGGAGCCUUACUCUGAGCGCAUACCGAACAGGAAGAGACAUAAAACCCAACGUCCUUAGCCAAAGUAGGCCACCAAUACCUCCCCCGAAGGCUCCCCACUGUCCUCCUGACCCCAGGGUGACCCGAGUAGGGUAGGACGUGAGCCCACCGAAUCAAUUUGUCCCGAACACCAAGCGGCACAUACUUCCGCCCCGCCGGACACUGAGGAGGAGCGGGUUCCGCCCUUAAUGCCCGCUCGAUAUCCGAGUCCACCUCCCACACCACUGAUGCUAUAAGCCUUGAGGCGGGAAGGAUGUGGGUAGGUUCGGUGGGCCGAUCCUCCGUGUUGAAACAACGGGACAGUGCAUCCGCCUUUAUGUUUUGGGAGCCCGGUCUGUACGAUAGAGUAAACUGGAAUUGGGUGAAGUACAUGGCCCACCUUGCCUGACGUGGGUUCAGUCUCCUAGCUGCCCGAAUAUACUUCAGAUUCUGGUGGUCGGUCCAGAUGAGAAAAGGGUGCUUAGCCCCCUCAAGCCAGUGUCUCCACACUUUCAGAGCACUGACCCCCGCUAACAACUCCCGGUCCCCCACAUCAUAGUUACGCUCCGCUGGGCUGAGCUUCUUAGAGAAAAAAGCGCAGGGGUGUAGUUUUUGUGGCGUACCCGAGCGCUGUGAUAGCACGGCACCUACCCCAGCCUCGGACGCGUCCACCUCCACUAUGAAUGCUAGAGAGGGAUCCGGAUGCGCCAACACGGGCGCCUCCGUGAACAGCGCCUUCAACCGGUUGAAAGCUCUGUCCGCUUCUGCUGACCACUGCAAACGCACCGGACCCCCCUUCAGCAGUGAGGUAAUGGGAGCUGCUACCUGGCCAAAACCCCGGAUAAACCUCCGGUAGUAGUUGGCAAAACCCAAAAACCGCUGCACUUCUUUUACUGUGGUCGGAGUCGGCCAAUUACGCACGGCCUUAAUGCGUUCACCCUCCAUCACCACCCCCGAGGUGGAAAUGCGAUAACCCAGAAAGGAGACGGCUCGUUUGGAGAACACACACUUCUCAGCCUUGACAUAUAGGUCAUGCUCCAGCAGUCUACCAAGCACUUUGCGUACUAGAGACACAUGCGCGGCGUGAGUGGCUGAGUAGAUCAGAAUGUCAUCGAUAUAAACAACCACUCCCUGCCCGUGCAGGUCCCUGAGAAUAUCGUCUACAAAGGAUUGGAAAACGGCGGGAGCAUUCUUUAACCCAUAUGGCAUGACGCAGUACUCAUAAUGGCCCGAUGUGGUACUAAAUGCGGUUUUCCACUCGUCUCCCUUCCGAAUACGUACCAGACUGUACGCGCUCCUGAGAUCCAGUUUUGUGAAGAACUGCGCUCCGAGAAAUGAUUCCAUUGCCGUAGCAAUGAGAGGUAGUGGGUAACUAAAACCCACUGUGACGGAAUUUAGACCUCUAUAAUCAAUACACGGACGCAAACCUCCCUCCUUUUUCUUCAGAAAAAAGAAACUCGAGGAGACGGGUGAGAUGGAGGACCGAAUGUACCCCUGUCCCAGAGACUCAGUGACAUAUGUCUCCAUAGCCACCGUCUCCUCUUGGGACAAAGGGUACACGUGACUCUUAGGAAGCGCAGCGUUUUCCUGGAGAUCUAUCGCACAAUCCCUACCCGGUCGAUAAGGUGGUAAUUUAGUCGCUUUCUUUUUACUAAAAGCGAUCGGCAUACUCGGGGGGGAAUGCGAACUGUGGACACCUGGUCUGGACUCUCCACCGACGUGGCACCGAUGGAAACUCCCAAACACCUUCCAGAACACUCCUCUGACCACCCCUGGAGAACCCCCUGUUUCCACGAAAUAGUAGGAUUGUGACUAGCCAGCCAGGGAAUCCCCAGUACCACUGGAAACGCAGGCGAAUCUAUAAUGUAAAAACUUAUACGUUCCUUAUGAUCCCCCUGCGUCACCAUGUCCAGUGGAACCAUGGCCUCCCGGACCAAACCUGACCCUAAUGGCUGGCUAUCUAGGGAGUGCACGGGAAAAGGAGAAUCUAUCGGCACAAGCGGAACACCCAGCUUGAUGGCGAGUCCGCGAUCCAUAAAGUUCCCAGCUGCACCUGAAUCGACUAGUGCCUUAUGCUGGGAAGAGGGAAAAAACUUAAGGAAAAAAAUUAAGACAAACAUAUGACUAACAGGGUAUUCUGGGUGAGUCUGGUGCUUACUCACCUGAGGUGACCGAGAAAUGUUCCGCCUGCCAUCUCGACCCCCAGAUGGACCCCCCCAGCACCGAUCGGCAGUGUGUCCUCUCCGACCACAGCUGGUGCAGGGGGAGCCUCCUCCUCCGGUACCCCUCGGCACGGCCCCUCCCAACUCCAUGGGAAUGGGUGCAGGGGUGCUGGGUGGUGGAACGCACAGGACCCUCUCCGAUCGGCCGCGGGAAGCCAGCAGAUUGUCCAGCCGGAUGGACAUAUCAAUAAGCUCAUCCAGGGAGAGAGCUUCGUCCCGGCAUGCUAGCUCCCUGCGGACAUCCUCCCGGAGACUACAUCUGUAGUGAUCUAUAAGGGCCCUGUCGUUCCACCCAGACCCCGCGGCCAAGGUCCGAAAAGCAAGACGGAGCGCGCUGGAGCCGGAGGAUGGUGAGAGAGGAGAGGAGGAAUCCUGAGCUGGAGAGACUGCAGGUGGAGAGAGGAGACCACUCCUCUCCCAUCGGGUCAUUCUCUCCAUCAUUUGAUCCAUGGCGGAACCGAUGCGAUGGAGUACGGUAGUGUGAUGUAGUACCCGUUCUUCCAUAGAUGGGAGUGGGUUUGCCGCUGCUCCUGCUGACUCCAUACUUAAUAAUGGUGCGGGAUUCUGUAAUGCCCGAUGUGUAGUGGAUGAACAGGAGUCAAACGCAGGAGACAGAGUUCAGAGUAGCGUUCAAAAUUUAAUUACCCACACGGGUGCAAACACGACGCUACUCAAAAAACAAAUGCUUCACCCCACAUAGAGUGAGAACCACGGAAAAUACCAACCAACACGAUACCCAGACACAACAAGAAUGUACAGAGUGUACAUACAACAAUCCCGCACACCCAGCAGGCCGGGCUGCUGGGUAAUAAAGCCCCACAAAUCACCCUAACCACAAACAGGUGCACCUACUCAACAAAAAGGGAGGAGGAGGAAAAGUCAGUAGCAGCUAGUAGGCCGGUGACGACGACCGCCGAGCACCACCCGAACAGGAAGGGGAGCCACCUUCGGUGGGAGUCGUUACAGCGGGUUUGUAGCAGUGGCUUCUUCCUUACUGAGCGGCCUUUCAGGUUAUGUCGAUAUAGGACUUGUUUUACUGUGGAUAUAGAUACUUUUGUACCUGUUUCCUCCAGCAUCUUCACAAGGUCCUUUGCUGUUGUUCUGGGAUUGAUUUGCACUUUUCGCACCAAAGUACGUUCAUCUCUAGGAGACAGAACGCGUCUCCUUCCUGAGCGGUAUGAUGGCUGUGUGAUCCCAUGGUGUUUAUAUUUGCGUACUAUUGUUUGUACAGAUGAACGUGAUACCUUCAGGCAUUUGGAAAUUGCUCCCAAAGUGUGAACCAGACUUGUUUUUUUUCUGAGGUCUUGGCUUUUGAUUUUCCCAUGAUGUCAAGCAAGGAGGCAUUGAGUUUGAAGGUAGGCACUGAAAUGCAUCCACAGGUACACCUCAAAUUGACUCAAAAUAUGUCAAUCAGCCUAUCAGAAGCUUCUAAAGCCAUGCCACCAUUUUCUGGAAUUUUCCAAGCUGUUUAAAGGCACAGUCAACUUAGUGUAUGUAAACUUCUGACCCACUGGAAUUGUGAUACAGUGAAUUAUAAGUGAAAUAAUCUCUGUUAAAAAUUGUUGGAAAAAUUACUUGUGUCAUGCACAAAGUAGAUGUCCUAACCGACUUGCCAAAACUAUAGUUUGUUAACAAGACAUUUGUGAAGUGGUUGAAAAACGAGUUUAAAUGACUCCAACCUAAGUGCAUAUAAACUUAUGACUUCAACUACCUUUUGAGAUGUUUGUAUCCUCCUGACUAGUGGUUAUUUUUUAAAUAAACUAAAUAUGCUUCUCUGCAUCUCUGCUAAAAUAUGGGUAAAAUAUUGAAAGCAAUGUGAGUCUUAUUCAGUACAUUUAGUUAUUGGUUGCUUUUCUAAAGUCUACCAAUCUUGCUAGCAGGCAUGCCAGUGAAGAUGAUAGUUAGACAAGCUAGCUACUCUAACUUGAUUGAUUGCCUCAACCUAUCUGGGAUAGCUAAAGCCAACUUCAUAAAAUUGCUAGGUGGCUAGUAGUAUUACUUUUUAAAUUAAAUUCAGAUGUUGUGUCACUGAUCUACAUACCCCAUAACGUCAAAGUGGAAUUGUGUUUUUAGAAAUGUUAACAAAUUCAUAAAAAAUUAAUUGAGUAAAUAAAUAUGCAAUCCUUUUGUUAUGGCAAGCCUAAAUAAGUUCAGAAGUAAAAAUGUGCUUAACAAGUCACAUAAUAAGUUGCAUGGACUCACUCUGUAUACAAUAAUACUGUUUAACAUGACUACCCCAUCUCUUUACCUCACACAUACAAUUAUCUGUAAGGUCCCUAAGUCGAACAGUGUAUUUCAGGCAUAGAUUCAACUACAAAGACCAGGAAGGUUUUCCUAUGUUUUGCAAAGAAGGGUAUAAAAAGCAGACAUUGAGUAUCCCUUUGAGCGUGGUGCAGUUAUUAAUUGUACACUGUAUCAAUACACCCAGUCACUACAAAGAUACAGGUGCCCUUACUAAAUCAGUUGCCGGAGAGGAAAGACACCCUUCUUGGAUUUCACCAUGCCAAUGUAACAGAGUUUAAUGGUUGUAACAGAUUUUAAUGGUUGUGAUAGAAUACUGAGGAUGGAUCAACAACAUCGUUACUCCGCAAUAGUAACAUAAAUGACAGAGUGAAAAGAAGGAAGCAUGGACAGAAUAAGACAUAUUCUAAAACAUGCAUCCUGUUUGCACUGAAGUAAUACUGCAAAUAAAUUGGCAAAUACAUUAACUUUUUGUCCUGAAUACAAAGCGUUAUGUUUGGGAAAAUCCAACCCAUCACUGAGUACCACUCUUCAUAUUUUCAAGAAUGGUAAUAGCUGCAUCAUGUUAUGGGUUGGCAUGAGCUAAGAGCUAAGAGCUAAGAGCUAAGCACAGGCAGAAUCCUUGAGGAAAACCUGGUUCAGUCUGCUUUCCAACAGACACUGGGAGACAAAUUCAGAUUUCUACAGAACAAUAAUCGAAAACAAAAGGCCAAAUAUGCACUGGAGUUGCUUACCAAGACGUUAUUAAAUGUUCCUGAGUGGCUUAGUUACAGUUUGGACUUAAAUCGGCUUUAACAUCUAUGGCAAGACUUGAAAAUGGCUGUCUAGCAAUGACCAAUAACCAACUUGACAGAGUGUGACACAUUUUUUAAAGAAUAAUGGUCAAAUAUUGUAUAAUCCAGGUGUGCAAAGCUCUUAAAGGCUUACCCAGAAAAACACACAGGUGUAAUCGCUGCCAAAGGUGAUUGUAACAUGUAUUGACUCAGGAAGUUUAAUACUUAUCCAAUCAAGAUAUAUUAGUGUGUUAUUUUCCAUUAAUACAAAAUGUAUAUACUUUUUCUUCCACUGACAUUACAGGGUAUUUUGUGAAUAUCAUUGACAAUCAAAUCAAUUUGAAUCCCACUUUGUAACAAAACAAAAUGUUUAAAAAGUCAAGGAGUGUGAAGCCUUUCCUUUCUGAAGGCUCUGUAAUACUGUAUAUAAUGUAAACUCAGCAAAAAAAGAAACAUCAUCUCACUGUCAACUGUGUUUAUUUUCAUCAAACUUAACAUGUGUAAAUAUUUGUAUGAACAUAACAAGAUUCUACAACUGAGACAUAAACUGAACAAGUUCCACAGACAUGUGACUAACAGAAAUGGAAUAAUGUGUCCCUGAACAAAGGGAGGGGGGGGUCAAAAUCAAAAGUAACAGUCAGUAUCUGGUGUGGCCACCAGCUGCAUUAAGUACUGCAGUGCAUCUCCUCCUCAUGGACUGCACCAGAUUUGCCAGUUCUUGCUGUGAGAUGUUACCCCACUCUUCCACCAAGGCACCUGCAAGUUCCCGGACAUUUCUGUGGGGGAAUAGCCCUAGACCUCACCCUCCGAUCCAACAGGUCCCAGACGUGCUCAAUGGGAUUGAGAUCCGAGGUCUUCGCUGGCCAUGGCAGAACACUGACAUUCCUGUCUUGCAGAAAAUAACGCACAGAACGAGCAGUAUGGCUGGUGGCAUUGUCAUGCUGGAGGGUCAUGUCAGGACGAGCCUGCAGGAAGGGUACGACAUGAGGGAGGAGGAUGUCUUCCCUGUAACACACAGUGUUGAAAUUGCCUGCAAUGACAACAAGCUAAGUCCGAUGAUGCUGUGACACACCGCCCCAGACCAUGACUGACCCUCCACCUCCAAAUCGAUUCCGCUCCAGAGUACAGGCCUCGGUGUAACGCUCAUUCCUUUGACGAUAAACGCAAAUCCGACCAUCACCCCUGGUGAUACAAAACCGUGACUCAUCAGUGAAGAGCACUAUUUGCCAGUUCUGUCUGGUCCAGCGACGGUGGGUUUGUGCCCAUAGGCGAUGUUGUUGCCGGUGAUGUCUGGUGAGGACCUGCCUUACAACAGGCCUACAAGCCCUCAGUCCAGCCUCUCUCAGCCUAUUGCGGACAGUCUGAGCAAUGAUGGAGGGAUUGUGCGUUCCUGGUGUAACUCGGGCAGUUGUUGUUGCCAUCAUGUACCUGUCCCGCAGGUGUAAUGUUCGGAUGUACCGAUCCUGUGCAGGUGUUGUUACACGUGGUCUUCCACUGCGAGGAUGAUCAUCUGUCCGUCCUGUCUCCCUGUAGCGCUGUCUUAGGCAUCUCACAGUACGGACAUUGCAAUUUAUUGCCCUGGCCACAUCUGUAGUCCUCAUGCCUCCUUGCAGCAUGCCUAAGGCACGUUCACGCAGAUGAGCAGGGACCCUGGGCAUCUUUCUUUUGGUGUUUUUCAGAAUAAGUAGAAAGGCCUCUUUAGUGUUCUAAGUUUUCAUAACUGUGACCUUAAUUGCCGUCUGUAAGCUGUUAGUGUCUUAACGACCGUUCCACAGGUGCAUGUUCAUUAAUUGUUUAUGGUUCAUUGAACAAGCAUAGGAAACCGUUUUUAAAACCUUUACAAUGAAGAUCUGUGAAGUUAUUUGGAUUUUUACACAUUAUCUUUGAAAGACAGGGUCCUGAAAAAGGGACGUUUCUUUUUUUGCUGAGUUUAUUUAUUUAAACAGGACAAAACGUGCCACUGUGGGCAUGACACCUCUGCUAUUUAUGUUUGUGUUAUUGUUAUAAUAAACAAGGGGAAAAUAAAUACAUCAGAGCAAUAUUUCAGGGUAAGGUUCUUCUGUCCAUGAUAUGCCAUGCAUGUUGAUGUUUCUAUGUCAUUUUGAUGUUUUCUAUAAGCACUAAGGCUAGGCAAUGGGAGAUGGAGCCUACAUGCAAUAGAUUAUUACACAUUAUCACACACUGUCUAUACUUUAUGCUGCUUUAGUGACGAUAUUCAAUGCAAAAUUGUACAGAGAUACUUUUUUGGUCAAUAAAAUGUAAUAUUUCAA
Molecule: long non-coding RNA, 14727 nt
Organism: Salvelinus fontinalis (brook trout)
Lineage: Eukaryota; Metazoa; Chordata; Actinopteri; Salmoniformes; Salmonidae
Exons: 2
Source: RefSeq, a predicted model, not a curated record